AUUGAACGCUGGCGGAAUGCUUUACACAUGCAAGUCGAACGGCAGCACGGACUUCGGCCUGGUGGCGAGUGGCGAACGGGUGAGUAAUGUAUCGGAACGUGCCCAGUCGUGGGGGAUAACGUGGUGAAAACCACGCUAAUACCGCAUACGAUCUAUGGAUGAAAGCGGGGGCCCGCAAGACCUCGCGCGACUGGAGCGGCCGAUAUCAGGUUAGGUAGUUGGUGGGGUAAAGGCCCACCAAGCCGACGAUCUGUAGCUGGUCUGAGAGGACGACCAGCCACACUGGGACUGAGACACGGUCCAGACUCCUACGGGAGGCAGCAGUGGGGAAUUCUGGACAAUGGGCGAAAGCCUGAUCCAGCCAUUCCGCGUGCAGGGUGAAGGCCCUCGGGUUGUAAACUGCUUUUGUACAGAACGAAAAGGUUUCUACUAAUACUAGGGGCUCAUGACGGUACUGUAAGAAUAAGCACCGGCUAACUACGUGCCAGCCGCCGCCGUAA
RNAcentral lists this ribosomal RNA (500 nucleotides) under uncultured bacterium. Its description in RNAcentral is "partial 16S ribosomal RNA". It matches the Rfam family "Bacterial small subunit ribosomal RNA", at positions 30 to 523 of the family's 1533-position model. The record is from RNAcentral.